Molecule: long non-coding RNA, 2158 nt
Filed under: Homo sapiens (human)
Lineage: Eukaryota; Metazoa; Chordata; Mammalia; Primates; Hominidae
Description: non-protein coding SDCBP2-AS1:1
Source: RNAcentral
CCACGGUGAAGGAAUUCAAAGAAGUAUUUACAACCAUUCAUUCAACCAACAUAUACUGAGGAUCUGCUGUACACACAGGCACCAAGAUGUGGUCCCUACCCUCAGGGAGCUGUUUAGGUUGGCAAUACGGUCACUGCCCCUCCCACCCAGGACCCUGCCCUCCGGGACAGCUCCGGGACAGCACCGGGCCAGCCUCUUGCUUGAACUCGCCACUUGUCCUGUUAGCCUUUGACUCAAGAUGUCAGAUAUAAACUGUUGGCAAAAUUCAGCUGAAUAUUGUCUUCUAGUAAACCUAAGCUGAUUCCUAAGUUGGGUACAAGCGUGAUCGGGUGUAAGCCAGCCUCAGCUUUUACAAAGUGAAAUGCAUAUUCUUUUAUUAGAAAUUACUUUCAUGUCCCUGCCUUCUCCUUAUAAACAAAGGGCAUCAUAUUGAUUUUUUACCCGGGGAACCAUCACCUGGGCUGCAGCCUCAGGACGAACCUGUGCCUUCCCUCUGUCUCAAUUUCCUGCUUUGGGAAAUAGGAGCCACAAGCCACAAACUCCAUCCACCGCGCCACAGGAGCGAGGUCCAACGCAACGGUCCCUAGGGCCUGCCUCCAACCCAGCCUCAGUUUCCUAUCUGUCACAUCGUUCUAUGAUCUCGAAAUGACUAUAACCCCUUUCUUAGCCCCAAACCAGCCGGAAGCGACAUCUUCCGGUUGCUACAGGUUACGGCGGUUGCUAUGGGCUACGGCGCCUGCGCAGAAACACCGCCAAGCGACUCAGCAACUUCUAGAGCGCAUGCGUUUCGCCCACCCAGGCCCGGGCGCGGUUAGGGGUGACUCCCACGAUCCCUAGCGGCUGCAGAGUGGAACAUGGCGGCCUCCUUGCCGCUUGCGUUACCAGAGUCCACCCGGCCUCGUGCUUUCUCCGGGCGCCCGUAGCUGGCGCCGGCAUCCACAAAAAUAGAUCAGGUAAAGCAGCAGAGUAAGGCAUAGGAAGACUUGGUCGGGCUCCGCGGCCCCUCUUUACCGGAUUGGAGGCUGCGCGGGUGAAAUCGAGCUUUAAACUCCCCUGGCCUCGGAACACCAUUUGUAGCCUCUGAAGGAGGAGGACUUAUAAGAUUCUGUACUAAGGCAGCCGUGGGAAGGGAGGAGAACCAGGUCGGCCCGCGCGCUCCCGGCUGCUUUUGCUCUCCCUUUGGUUUCGAAAGCGUCAAGUCCCAAGGUAUUUCCUACCAAUUGUGACGUCACCCUUCCUCCCCCGUUUCUCACCCGUUUCUUGUCUGGCCGUGACUUCUGACCCAGUGUUGAGCUAAAAAUGCCCCGCCCCACCCUACGCAGAUUCACCCCGCGUCCCACCCACCAGUGACUGAGUGACUGGGCUUCUGCUGCCUAGGGAAGGGUUCUUGGCUUGGCCGGGCAAAUCAAUUCCCACAGCAAAAUCAGACCGAAAGCCUGUUAUGAGGGACUCAGGCAGUUGGAUGUGGCGUAUAGGAGGAAGGCUAGGGCAAUCAGGAAGGUCUCCUGGAGGAAGGAAGAAGACCCUGACUGGGCCGUGUAGGAUGGAUGUUCAAGUGGGAAGAGAGUGUGCUAUUCCAGGGACAGGGAGGCCCAGGCCUGAGAGUCCAGUUGCCUUCUGGAUCCCGUUUACCUCGCAGAUUAUCCAAACUGGACUCGUGAUUUUCCCCAGCUGUGCCGCGCCUCCCCAGCGGUCUCACUGAAUCCACCCAUGGGCUAUGUCAGAAAUCUGGGAGUUAUCCUCAGCUCCUCCCUUUCCCUUCUGAAGCCAUACCUACUUCUUGCCCUCAAAUCUCUGUGACCUGACUUCUGGUAAUGUUUCCAUUCUCACCAUCUCAUUCUUCUCCACACUUAUCAUGAAGUUCAUUUAUUCCAGACUACUUUAGGUUGAGUCCUAAAAGUCAGCCUGCUAGUUCAUGCCUCCAUGCUUUUGCAGGUGCUAUUCCCUCUGUCUUAAGAGUCAUUCAUGCCUUCUCUCUUUUCCUUGUUGUGAACUCUUUUUCCUCCAAUUUAAAGCUUUCCCCCACCUGUACGCAUGGAGAUUGGCAAGCCUCCCUUCUCUAGACGACAGCAUUUCUUGUAUUUGCCUCUUCAUCAUAUAUUCCACAAGUGUUUGUUAAUCACCUACUAUGAGCAAGGCCUUCUGCAUUUCCUAGGUU